GAUGAACGCUGGCGGCGUGCCUAAUACAUGCAAGUCGAGCGAACAGACGAGGAGCUUGCUCCUCUGACGUUAGCGGCGGACGGGUGAGUAACACGUGGAUAACCUACCUAUAAGACUGGGAUAACUUCGGGAAACCGGAGCUAAUACCGGAUAAUAUAUUGAACCGCAUGGUUCAAUAGUGAAAGACGGUUUUGCUGUCACUUAUAGAUGGAUCCGCGCCGCAUUAGCUAGUUGGUAAGGUAACGGCUUACCAAGGCAACGAUGCGUAGCCGACCUGAGAGGGUGAUCGACCACACUAGAACUGAGACACGGUCCGGACUCCUACGGGAGGCAGCAGUAGGGAAUCUUCCGCAAUGGGCGAGAGCCUGACGGAGCAACGCCGCGUGAGUGAUGAAGGUCUUCGGAUCGUAAAACUCUGUUAUUAGGGAAGAACAAAUGUGUAAGUAACUAUGCACGUCUUGACGGUACCUAAUCAGAAAGCCACGGCUAACUACGUG
RNAcentral lists this ribosomal RNA (497 nucleotides) under uncultured bacterium. RNAcentral describes it as "partial 16S ribosomal RNA". It matches the Rfam family "Bacterial small subunit ribosomal RNA", at positions 28 to 507 of the family's 1533-position model. The record is from RNAcentral.